AGAGUUUGAUCAUGGCUCAAAUUGAACGCUGGCGGCAUGCCUUACACAUGCAAGUCGAACGGCAGCACGGGAGCAAUCCUGGUGGCGAGUGGCGAACGGGUGAGUAAUACAUCGGAACGUGCCCAGUAGUGGGGGAUAGCCCGGCGAAAGCCGGAUUAAUACCGCAUACGACCUACGGGUGAAAGCGGGGGAUCGCAAGACCUCGCGCUAUUGGAGCGGCCGAUGGCAUAUUAGCUUGUUGGUGGGGUAAAAGCCUACCAAGGCGACUAUCUGUAGCUGGUCUGAGAGGACGACCACCCACACUGGGACUGAGACACGGCCCACACUCCUACGGGAGGCAGCAGUGGGGAAUUUUGGACAAUGGGCGCAAGCCUGAUCCAGCCAUGCCGCGUGCGGGAAGAAGGCCUUCGGGUUGUAAACCGCUUUUGUCAGGGAAGAAACGGCUUAAUCUAAUAAAUUGAGCUAAUGACGGUACCUGAAAAAUAAGCACCGGCUAACUACGUGCCAGCAGCCGCGGUAAUACGUAGGGUGCAAGCGUUAAUCGGAAUUACUGGGCGUAAAGCGUGCGCAGGCGGCUAUGCAAGACAGAUGUGAACUCCCCGGGCUCAACCUGGGAACUGCAUUUGUGACUGCACAGCUAGAGUACGGCAGAGGGGGGAUGGAAUUCCGCGUGUAGCAGUGAAAUGCGUAUAUAUGCGGAGGAACACCGAUGGCGAAGGCAAUCCCCUGACCUGUACUGACGCUCAUGCACGAAGCGUGGAGAGCAAACAGGAUUAGAUACCCUGUACUCCACGCCCUAACGAUGUCCACUUGGUUUGUUGGACGGCUUGCUUGUUCAGUAACGAAGCUAACGCGUGAGUUGACCGCCUGGGAGAGUACGGCCGCAGGUUGAUCUCGAUGUAUUGACAGCAUCGCAAGCGUAGAAAGUUAGAUGUAUUACUCCGCAAUGGCCACGCGCGAACGAUUA
RNAcentral lists this ribosomal RNA (967 nucleotides) under uncultured bacterium. RNAcentral's name for it is "bacterial SSU rRNA". It matches the Rfam family "Bacterial small subunit ribosomal RNA", at positions 8 to 973 of the family's 1533-position model. The record is from RNAcentral.